UUUUUAUGAGAGUUUGAUCCUGGCUCAGGACGAACGCUGGCGGCGUGCCUAAUACAUGCAAGUCGAACGCUUCUUUUUC
Molecule: ribosomal RNA, 79 nt
Filed under: Enterococcus faecium
Lineage: Bacteria; Bacillati; Bacillota; Bacilli; Lactobacillales; Enterococcaceae
Description: partial 16S ribosomal RNA
Rfam family: Bacterial small subunit ribosomal RNA
Source: RNAcentral